GACAGCCGCUGAGGAGAGCGUGAUGGCGCGCUCUUGGUUCUUGUCUUCCCGCUCGGCCUCUCCAGGUUGUCGUUGGGCGGCAAAUGGAAAUGGGCGAAUAUAAUUCUUUUUGGAACUAAAAACUAGGUAGUCGUAUGUGAAGAAAUUACGGCUGCUAUUAACUCUCUCCUGUGAUUUAUUUUUGUUACAAAUAUCAUUGCUUUCUCCCCAAUUUUUUUUAUAAUGUUGCUCUGCCAGGGUAAAUUCCGUUUUAGUAUUACAAGCUGUAUCAAUCUGUAGAGAUCUUAUCACAAAUAGGUCCAGGCCUACUUGUAUUGAUUUAUACUGUAGUAAAGGUGACUAUGGUCAUAACAGAAGAGUUAAGUGGAUCAUUUUCCGAUGUAAAGAAGCGCUUUGUGUGAGGACACCUCAUCUGCUUUUAACUUCACCGCUCCCAUAGAAAAUGUGUCGAGACCGAUGAGCGCCCCACUGGAAGGGACACAAGUAGCAGCCAAACGUGGCCUAGGACUGGCUCUUUUUGCAGUGACCUGCUGGAGACCAUGGGACAUCUCAAAUGACAUCACCAGGUUACCGCUGUCCUUCUCCACUGUGUACACUGCCUCUUCAACUACAGAUUUCCACUACCAUUGAACAGACAUCAAAGAAACAGUCAGAAGCAUUAUAAAAAAGACUACAUACGUUUCAGAAAUUCCUUUUCCAUUCUCACUUCAAACUUCGUAUCCAGCAAAAACUCCUCAGAGAAGAGCCCAGCUUCAUCCUUUCCAUAGGUGCCAGUUGGGCAGUUCAAGCAGCAGCUGAAUUCCAUUCAGCCAUUUCUUCGCCAAGCUGGACAGUAAGUCCGUGUCUGUCUCGUGCUGAGACUGCCAAAACUGGACGUGAGAGAUGAACAGAAGGGAGAAAUCACUUUUGCCAGCCAGCUGGCUACAUGGCGGCCAGUGUACCUGGCAUGCCAUUAGCACUGCUGCUGCUGUGUCCAGAGCCAGGGAACAGGAGUCUGUGUAAUGUGGUCUGUGUAACUCUGGAUUCUAAGAAUCACUAAAAAAUCCCAAAUCCCU
Molecule: long non-coding RNA, 1055 nt
Filed under: Gallus gallus (chicken)
Lineage: Eukaryota; Metazoa; Chordata; Aves; Galliformes; Phasianidae
Description: lncRNA (ENSGALG00010006400.1)
Source: RNAcentral